Molecule: ribosomal RNA, 1014 nt
Filed under: Triticum aestivum (bread wheat)
Lineage: Eukaryota; Viridiplantae; Streptophyta; Magnoliopsida; Poales; Poaceae
Description: partial small subunit ribosomal RNA
Source: RNAcentral
AUGGACAAGCUUCCCAAGCGCCCGGCUAACUACGUGCCACUUAGCCCGGUUGGGUUCCUUCCGCGCGCCAGUGCAGUAUACGGCGACCGCACGUCGGUCGUCUACGGGCGUCUCAAGUUCACGUGGAGGCAAACGCACGAGCGCUGCCGCCGCCUCGCCGCCGCCCUCGUCUCCCUCGGCGUCCGCAAGAACGACGUCGUCUCCGUCCUCGCGCCCAACGUGCCGGCAAUGUACGAGAUGCACUUCGCCGUGCCCAUGGCUGCUGCCGUGCUCAACACCAUCAACACGCGCCUGGACGCCAAGGCGGUGGCGGUCAUCCUCAGGCACGCCCAGACCAAGGUCCUCUUCGUCGACUAUGAGUACGUGCGCCUCGCUCACGACGCGCUCCAGAUCGUUGCCGAUGCCGGCGCGCCCGUGCCGCUUGUCGCCGUCAUCGAUGAUAUCGACAGACCCACCGGCGUCCGGCUCGGCCUCUUCAAGCUCGAGUAUGAGGCGCUGGUCAGCAAAGGAGACCCGGCGGCGGAGCUGCCCUCGCUCGAAGACGAGUGGGAUGCGGUCGUGCUCAACUACACCUCGGGCACCACGUCGGCGCCCAAAGGCGUGGUGUCCAGCCACCGUGGUGCAUACCUCAACACCAUGGGCCAGCUGCUGUCGUGGGGGGUGGGCGCCGAACCCGUGUACCUCUGGACGCUCCCCAUGUUCCACUGCAACGGGUGGACACUCACGUGGGGAAUGGCGGCGCGCGGCGCCGUCAACGUCUGCAUUCGCCAGAACCGCGCCGCCGACGUCUACCGUGCCAUCUCCGACUACGGCGUCACCCACAUGUGCUGCGCGCCCGUGGUAUUCAAUAUCCUCCUGGAAGGCGAGGCCCGGCGGCUCACCGCUCCCGUCCACGUCCUCGGCGGCGCCCCGCCAACAGCCGCCCUGCUGGACCGCGUCGAGCGGAUCGGUUUCAAGGUGACGCACUCCUAUGGACUCACGGAGGCCACAGGCCCCGCUAUGGCCUGUGAGUAG